Molecule: long non-coding RNA, 536 nt
Organism: Nasonia vitripennis (jewel wasp)
Lineage: Eukaryota; Metazoa; Arthropoda; Insecta; Hymenoptera; Pteromalidae
Exons: 2
Source: RefSeq, a predicted model, not a curated record
GGACGUGAGCUCUGUGCUUCAUGAGCUUCACGUCUUUCGCGGUAGAGUUGUCAAACUGACCAUUGACUAUUGGAUUACCGAACCUAUUUAGAAAUUCGAUUUUGUUACCAAGAAGAUUUGGCUUUACAAACUGUACCAUGCAGUGAUCUGCAAAGAAAAUAUUAUAUUUGUCACAACUAUUCAAAUAGAUUUAAGUAAUGGUUGCAACUUUACAUACAUUCACUCAAGUUAUUCUGAAGUGGCGUGCCCCAAAUGUCCUUCGUCGCAGACUACGAAAUCAGCACCAGGAUUUAGUAAAUAUGACCUCAUUUUUUGGCUACGCUGGAGACUCUGUUUUUUAUCGUCGGAUGUGAACAAUCGAAACAUUUCGUAGCUAAGGACCAAGACUCCACCAAGGUCGUGCCAAAACUUCAGUUGGGAGAUUCUACUCGAUGUCUUUUUGAUUCUAAAUGAGUAAUAUUUUAUUUUUCGAAAAUAUUUUGAAUUUAGUAUGUAGAUUUUAAUAAAAAUUCAAACAUACUGCGUCAAGUCGUAAA